RNAcentral lists this ribosomal RNA (216 nucleotides) under Glomeromycotina sp. Its description in RNAcentral is "partial small subunit ribosomal RNA". The stretch from base 40 to 216 matches the Rfam family "Eukaryotic small subunit ribosomal RNA", at positions 686 to 864 of the family's 1831-position model. Lineage: Eukaryota; Fungi; Glomeromycota. The record is from RNAcentral.
GGGUCAGUAGGUUGGUCGUGCCACCGGUACGUACUGGUCUCACUGAUUCCUCCUUCCUGAAGAACCGUAAUGCCAUUAAUUUGGUGUUGCGGGGAAACAGGACUGUUACUUUGAAAAAAUUAGAGUGUUUAGAGCAAGCUAACGCUUGAAUACAUUAGCAUGGAAUAAUGAAAUAGGACGAUCGAUCCUAUUUUGUUGGUUGAUAGGAUUGACGUA